RNAcentral lists this unclassified non-coding RNA (315 nucleotides) under plant metagenome. Its description in RNAcentral is "partial contains 5.8S ribosomal RNA, internal transcribed spacer 2, and large subunit ribosomal RNA". The stretch from base 1 to 105 matches the Rfam family "5.8S ribosomal RNA", at positions 50 to 154 of the family's 154-position model. The record is from RNAcentral.
AAAAUGCGAUAAGUAAUGUGAAUUGCAGAAUUCAGUGAAUCAUCGAAUCUUUGAACGCACAUUGCGCCCGCCAGUAUUCUGGCGGGCAUGCCUGUUCGAGCGUCAUUUCAACCCUCAAGCCCCCGGGUUUGGUGUUGGGGAUCGGGCUGCGGUUCUACCGCGUCCCGGCCCCGAAAUCUAGUGGCGGUCUCGCUGCAGCCUCCAUUGCGUAGUAGCUAACACCUCGCAACUGGAACGCGGCGCGGCCAAGCCGUUAAACCCCCAACUUCUGAAUGUUGACCUCGGAUCAGGUAGGGAUACCCGCUGAACUUAAGC